UACGAAGGGGGCUAGCGUUGCUCGGAAUCACUGGGCGUAAAGCGCACGUAGGCGGAUUGUUAAGUCAGGGGUGAAAUCCUGGAGCUCAACUCCAGAACUGCCUUUGAUACUGGCGAUCUUGAGUCCGGGAGAGGUGAGUGGAACUGCGAGUGUAGAGGUGAAAUUCGUAGAUAUCGAGAGGAACACCGGUGGCGAAGGCGGCGAUCUGGACGAUGACUGACGCUGAGACGCGAAAGCGUGGGGAGCAAACAGG
RNAcentral lists this ribosomal RNA (253 nucleotides) under uncultured bacterium. RNAcentral's name for it is "partial 16S ribosomal RNA". It matches the Rfam family "Bacterial small subunit ribosomal RNA", at positions 524 to 776 of the family's 1533-position model. The record is from RNAcentral.